CGGACGGGUGAGUAACGCGUGAGUAACCUGCCUUCAAGAGGGGGAUAACAUUCUGAAAAGAAUGCUAAUACCGCAUGACAUAUCGGAACCACAUGGUUUUGAUAUCAAAGAUUUUAUCGCUUGAAGAUGGACUCGCGUCCGAUUAGUUAGUUGGUGAGGUAACGGCUCACCAAGACCGCGAUCGGUAGCCGGACUGAGAGGUUGAACGGCCUCAUUGGGACUGAGACACGGCCCAGACUCCUACGGGAGGCAGCUG
RNAcentral lists this ribosomal RNA (256 nucleotides) under uncultured bacterium. Its description in RNAcentral is "partial 16S ribosomal RNA". It matches the Rfam family "Bacterial small subunit ribosomal RNA", at positions 99 to 354 of the family's 1533-position model. The record is from RNAcentral.